This 632-nucleotide ribosomal RNA is filed under the name Calonarius osloensis. Its description in RNAcentral is "eukaryotic LSU rRNA". The stretch from base 253 to 406 matches the Rfam family "5.8S ribosomal RNA". Lineage: Eukaryota; Fungi; Basidiomycota; Agaricomycetes; Agaricales; Cortinariaceae. The record is from RNAcentral.
AGGAUCAUUAUUGAAAUAAAUCUGAUAAGUUGUUGCUGGUUCUCUAGGGAGCAUGUGCACACUUGUCAUCUUUGUAUCUUCACCUGUGCACCUUUUGUAGACUUGAUAAUCUCUCUGAAUGCUUUAAAGCCUUCAGGAUUGAGGAUUGACUUGCUGUCUUUUCUUACAUUUUCAGGUCUAUGUUUCUUCAUAUACCCUAAUGUAUGUUUAUAGAAUGUAAUCAAUGGGCCUUUUGUGCCUAUAAAUGUAUACAACUUUCAGCAACGGAUCUCUUGGCUCUCGCAUCGAUGAAGAACGCAGCGAAAUGCGAUAAGUAAUGUGAAUUGCAGAAUUCAGUGAAUCAUCGAAUCUUUGAACGCACCUUGCGCUCCUUGGUAUUCCGAGGAGCAUGCCUGUUUGAGUGUCAUUAAUAUAUCAACCUUUUUGGUUGGAUGUGGGUUUGCUGGCCUCUUGAGGUCAGCUCCCCUUAAAUGCAUUAGCGGACAACAUUUUGUGAAUCGUUUAUUGGUGUGAUAAUUAUCUACGCUAUUGAGCGUGAAGCAAGGUUCAGCUUCUAACAGUCCAUUGACUUGGACAAAUUUAUUUUUUAUUAAUGUGACCUCAAAUCAGGUAGGACUACCCGCUGAACUUAA